GACGAACGCUGGCGGCGUGCUUAACACAUGCAAGUCGAACGAUGAAGAAGAGAAACGCGAACUUCGGUUCAAAUUUCACUUCGGAUUAGUGGCAGACGGGUGAGUAACGCGUGAGCAACCUACCUCUUACAAAGGGAUAGCCUCGGGAAACCGUGAUUAAUACCAUAUGACACAUUCAUAAGGCAUCUUAAGAAUGUUAAAGCUACGGCGGUAAGAGAUGGGCUCGCGUCCCAUUAGCUAGUUGGUGAGGUAACGGCCCACCAAGGCGACGAUGGGUAACCGGCCUGAGAGGGUGAACGGUCACAUUGGAACUGAGACACGGUCCAAACUCCUACGGGAGGCAGCAGUGGGGAAUAUUGCACAAUGGAGGGAACUCUGAUGCAGCGACGCCGCGUGAGCGAUGAAGGAAUUCGUUUCGUAAAGCUCUGUUCUAUGGGAAGAAAAGGACUGCACCAUAGGAGAAAGCCCCGGCUAAAUACGUG
This 482-nucleotide ribosomal RNA is filed under the name uncultured bacterium. RNAcentral's name for it is "partial 16S ribosomal RNA". It matches the Rfam family "Bacterial small subunit ribosomal RNA", at positions 28 to 507 of the family's 1533-position model. The record is from RNAcentral.